This 195-nucleotide ribosomal RNA is filed under the name uncultured ectomycorrhiza (Lactarius pseudomucidus). RNAcentral's name for it is "partial 28S ribosomal RNA". It matches the Rfam family "Eukaryotic large subunit ribosomal RNA", at positions 1 to 192 of the family's 3401-position model. Lineage: Eukaryota; Fungi; Basidiomycota; Agaricomycetes; Russulales; Russulaceae. The record is from RNAcentral.
UUGACCUCAAAUCGGGUGAGACUACCCGCUGAACUUAAGCAUAUCAAUAAGCGGAGGAAAAGAAACUAACAAGGAUUCCCCUAGUAACUGCGAGUGAAGCGGGAAAAGCUCAAAUUUAAAAUCUGGCGGUCUUUGGCCGUCCGAGUUGUAAUUUAGAGAAGCGUCUUCCGCGCCGGACCGUGCACAAGUCUCCUG